AGUGAACGCUGGCGGUAGGCCUAACACAUGCAAGUCGAACGGCAGCACAGUAAGAGCUUGCUCUUACGGGUGGCGAGUGGCGGACGGGUGAGGAAUACAUCGGAAUCUACUUUUUCGUGGGGGAUAACGUAGGGAAACUUACGCUAAUACCGCAUACGACCUACGGGUGAAAGAAGGGGAUCUUCGGACCUUGCGCGAUUGAAUGAGCCGAUGUCGGAUUAGCUAGUUGGCGGGGUAAAGGCCCACCAAGGCGACGAUCCGUAGCUGGUCUGAGAGGAUGAUCAGCCACACUGGAGCUGGGGCACGGUCCCGACUCCUACGGGAGGCAGCGGUGGGGAAUCUUGGACAAUGGGCGCAAGCCUGAUCCAGCCAUUCCGCGUGGGUGAAGAAGGCCUUCGGGUUGUAAAGCCCUUUUGUUGGGAAAGAAAAGCAGCAGGUUAAUACCCCGCUGUUCUGACGGUACCCAAAGAAUAAGCACCGGCUAACUUCGU
This 491-nucleotide ribosomal RNA is filed under the name uncultured bacterium. RNAcentral's name for it is "partial 16S ribosomal RNA". It matches the Rfam family "Bacterial small subunit ribosomal RNA", at positions 29 to 506 of the family's 1533-position model. The record is from RNAcentral.